UGUGUGUAGAAGGCAUUUCUUUGUUUAAGUAUAUCAACAUGAGGUCAAGGACUACAUCAUGUUCAAUGCAUGAUCAUCUAAUUACAUUAUCUGAUUGGUCAGUUCUUAAAAUCGGUAAUUAAUAUCAAAUUUCUACAUGUGCUUGGACAUGCGGUCAUUCGCCUUUGUUUUGGGAGAAAGAAAAGAUCGUUUUGAAUUUAUCUGAAAACCCUCCCAUUUCCCUCCCUUUUAAGUGUUAUUAUAUAGGACAUUUAUUUUUUUCUUUAAACAUGAAUUAAUUACAAUAUUCAUGUAUACUUGUUUAUAUAAUUUGUAUAUACAUAUGUUGGUGAGUUAAUUUUUCAACUCACUUUUAUUUUUGUCAUUUUUUUUUUAUGUUUAUUUUGUUACGGUGUGGCACUUUUUCAAC
This 409-nucleotide long non-coding RNA is filed under the name Mytilus galloprovincialis (Mediterranean mussel). Lineage: Eukaryota; Metazoa; Mollusca; Bivalvia; Mytilida; Mytilidae. The record is from RNAcentral.